UACGUAGGGGGCUAGCGUUGUCCGGAAUCAUUGGGCGUAAAGAGCGCGUAGGCGGCUAGAUAAGUCCGGUGUGAAAGUCACAGGCUCAACCUGUGAAUGCCGCUGGAAACUGUCCGGCUAGAGUGCGGUAGGGGAGAAUGGAAUUCCUGGUGUAGCGGUGGAAUGCGCAGAUAUCAGGAGGAACACCGAUGGCGAAGGCAGUUCUCUGGGCCGUAACUGACGCUGAGGAGCGAAAGCGUGGGGAGCGAACAGG
This 253-nucleotide ribosomal RNA is filed under the name uncultured bacterium. RNAcentral's name for it is "partial 16S ribosomal RNA". It matches the Rfam family "Bacterial small subunit ribosomal RNA", at positions 524 to 776 of the family's 1533-position model. The record is from RNAcentral.